CGCGGCCUAUCAGCUUGUUGGUGAGGUAAUGGCUCACCAAGGCUUCGACGGGUAGCCGGCCUGAGAGGGUGACCGGCCACACUGGGACUGAGACACGGCCCAGACUCCUACGGGAGGCAGCAGUGGGGAAUAUUGGACAAUGGGCGAAAGCCUGAUCCAGCAACGCCGCGUGAGGGAUGACGGCCUUCGGGUUGUAAACCUCUUUCAGCAGGGACGAAGCGAAAGUGACGGUACCUGCAAAAGAAGCACCGGCCAACUACGUGCCAGCAGCCGCGGUAAUACGUAGGGUGCGAGCGUUGUCCGGAAUUAUUGGGCGUAAAGAGCUUGUAGGCGGUUUGUCGCGUCUGCCGUGAAAAUCCGGGGCUCAACUCCGGACUUGCGGUGGGUACGGGCAGACUAGAGUGUGGUAGGGGAGACUGGAAUUCCUGGUGUAGCGGUGAAAUGCGCAGAUAUCAGGAGGAACACCGAUGGCGAAGGCAGGUCUCUGGGCCACUACUGACGCUGAGAAGCGAAAGCGUGGGGAGCGAACAGGAUUAGAUACCCUGGUAGUCCACGCCGUAAACGGUGGGUACUAGGUGUGGGUUUCCUUCCUUGGGAUCCGUGCCGUAGCUAACGCAUUAAGUACCCCGCCUGGGGAGUACGGA
RNAcentral lists this ribosomal RNA (644 nucleotides) under uncultured Actinomycetes bacterium. RNAcentral describes it as "bacterial SSU rRNA". It matches the Rfam family "Bacterial small subunit ribosomal RNA", at positions 232 to 886 of the family's 1533-position model. The record is from RNAcentral. Lineage: Bacteria; Bacillati; Actinomycetota; Actinomycetes.